This 215-nucleotide ribosomal RNA is filed under the name Hylomyrma reginae. RNAcentral describes it as "partial large subunit ribosomal RNA". Lineage: Eukaryota; Metazoa; Arthropoda; Insecta; Hymenoptera; Formicidae. The record is from RNAcentral.
GAAUUUUAUAUAUUUAGAUUAAUAAUUAAUUAAAUUUUUUUUGUUAAUUAAGUAUAUUUAGUUGGGAGAAUUAUUAGAUUAUAAUAAUUUUAAUUUUUUAAAAAUAUUGAUUUAUAAAUAAAAGAAUGAUAUUUUUAUGGUUAAAAAAUUAAUUACCUUAGGGAUAACAGCGUAAUAUUUUUGGAGAGUUCUUAUUGAUAAAAAUGAUUGCGACC